This 255-nucleotide unclassified non-coding RNA is filed under the name uncultured fungus. RNAcentral describes it as "sequence contains ITS1". The stretch from base 1 to 105 matches the Rfam family "5.8S ribosomal RNA", at positions 50 to 154 of the family's 154-position model. The record is from RNAcentral. Lineage: Eukaryota; Fungi.
GAAUUGCGAAAAGUAAUGUGAAUUGCAUAAUUCCGUGAAUCAUCAAAUCUUUGAACGCACCUUGCGCUAGCUGGAAUUCCGGCUAGCAUACCUGUUUGAGUAUCAUAUAAAAAUCACCAAUGGUGGAUAUGGGCAAUGUAGUAUACUUGCCUUAAAGAUAUAGUACCAAUGGGCACUCAAUAGAGCUAAAUACACUAUUGAAAUUGUCUACACAUUACUGAUCUCAAAUCAGGUGGGAUUACCCGCUGAACUUAA